Molecule: ribosomal RNA, 468 nt
Filed under: uncultured bacterium
Lineage: Bacteria
Description: partial 16S ribosomal RNA
Rfam family: Bacterial small subunit ribosomal RNA
Source: RNAcentral
GACGAACGCUGGCGGCGUGCUUAACACAUGCAAGUCGAACGGAAAGGCCCUGAUUUUGUGGGGUGAUCGAGUGGCGAACGGGUGAGUAACACGUGUGUAACCUGCUCUUGUCUUUCGGAUAACUUCACGAAACUGGGGCUACUCCAGGAUAGGAGAUCCUGCAGCAUGGAGGGCGUUGGAAAGUCUCGGCGGUUGGGGAUGGACUAGCGGCUUAUCAGCUUGCUGGUGGGGUAGUGGCUUACCCAGGAUUUGACGGGUCGGCGGCCUGAGAGGGUGACCGGCGACAUUGGGACUGAGGGACGGCCCAGACGCCUACGGGAGGCAGUAGUGGGGAAUAUGGCACAAUGGGCGGAAGCCUGAUGCAGCGACGCCGCGGUCGGGAUGACGGCUUUCGGGGUGUAAACCGCUGUCGCCUGUGACGAAGCGGGAGUGACGGUAAUGGGUAAAGAAGCACCGGCUAACUACGUG